CUUUUACAAUGAAGAGUUUGAUCCUGGCUCAGGAUGAACGCUAGCUACAGGCUUAACACAUGCAAGUCGAGGGGCAGCANAAUGCUGACUAACAAUACUUUUACAAUGAAGAGUUUGAUCCUGGCUCAGGAUGAACGCUAGCUACAGGCUUAACACAUGCAAGUCGAGGGGCAGCAUUUCAGUUUGCUUGCAAACUGGAGAUGGCGACCGGCGCACGGGUGAGUAACACGUAUCCAACCUGCCGAUAACUCGGGGAUAGCCUUUCGAAAGAAAGAUUAAUACCCGAUGGCAUAAUUAGACCGCAUGGUCUUAUUAUUAAAGAAUUUCGGUUAUCGAUGGGGAUGCGUUCCAUUAGGCAGUUGGUGAGGUAACGGCUCACCAAACCUUCGAUGGAUAGGGGUUCUGAGAGGAAGGUCCCCCACAUUGGAACUGAGACACGGUCCAAACUCCUACGGGAGGCAGCAGUGAGGAAUAUUGGUCAAUGGGCGCAGGCCUGAACCAGCCAAGUAGCGUGAAGGAUGACUGCCCUAUGGGUUGUAAACUUCUUUUAUAUGGGAAUAAAGUUUUCCACGUGUGGAAUUUUGUAUGUACCAUAUGAAUAAGGAUCGGCUAACUCCGUGCCAGCAGCCGCGGUAAUACGGAGGAUCCGAGCGUUAUCCGGAUUUAUUGGGUUUAAAGGGAGCGUAGGUGGACAGUUAAGUCAGUUGUGAAAGUUUGCGGCUCAACCGUAAAAUUGCAGUUGAUACUGGCUGUCUUGAGUACAGUAGAGGUGGGCGGAAUUCGUGGUGUAGCGGUGAAAUGCUUAGAUAUCACGAAGAACUCCGAUUGCGAAGGCAGCUCACUGGACUGCAACUGACACUGAUGCUCGAAAGUGUGGGUAUCAAACAGGAUUAGAUACCCUGGUAGUCCACACAGUAAACGAUGAAUACUCGCUGUUUGCGAUAUACAGUAAGCGGCCAAGCGAAAGCAUUAAGUAUUCCACCUGGGGAGUACGCCGGCAACGGUGAAACUCAAAGGAAUUGACGGGGGCCCGCACAAGCGGAGGAACAUGUGGUUUAAUUCGAUGAUACGCGAGGAACCUUACCCGGGCUUAAAUUGCAUUUGAAUAAUCUGGAAACAGGUUAGCCGCAAGGCAAAUGUGAAGGUGCUGCAUGGUUGUCGUCAGCUCGUGCCGUGAGGUGUCGGCUUAAGUGCCAUAACGAGCGCAACCCUUAUCUUUAGUUACUAACAGGUCAUGCUGAGGACUCUAGAGAGACUGCCGUCGUAAGAUGUGAGGAAGGUGGGGAUGACGUCAAAUCAGCACGGCCCUUACGUCCGGGGCUACACACGUGUUACAAUGGGGGGUACAGAAGGCAGCUACCUGGUGACAGGAUGCUAAUCCCAAAAGCCUCUCUCAGUUCGGAUCGAAGUCUGCAACCCGACUUCGUGAAGCUGGAUUCGCUAGUAAUCGCGCAUCAGCCAUGGCGCGGUGAAUACGUUCCCGGGCCUUGUACACACCGCCCGUCAAGCCAUGAAAGCCGGGGGUACCUGAAGUACGUAACCGCAAGGAGCGUCCUAGGGUAAAACUGGUAAUUGGGGCUAAGUCGUAACAAGGUAGCCGUACCGGAAGGUGCGGCUGGAACACCUCCUUU
Molecule: ribosomal RNA, 1631 nt
Filed under: Bacteroides thetaiotaomicron
Lineage: Bacteria; Pseudomonadati; Bacteroidota; Bacteroidia; Bacteroidales; Bacteroidaceae
Description: bacterial SSU rRNA
Rfam family: Bacterial small subunit ribosomal RNA
Source: RNAcentral